GACAGCCACAGGGCUCAGGACAAGGUGGACACUGUGAUCACGGUGACAGCACAGGGCUCAGGACAAGGUGGACGGUGAUCACGGUGACAGCCACAGGGCUCAGGACAAGGUGGACGGUGAUCACGGUGACAGCCACAGGGCUCAGGACAAGGUGGACACUGUGAUCACGGUGACAGCCACAGGGCUGAGGACAAGGUGGACGGUGAUCACGGUGACAGCCACGGGGCUCAGGACAAGGUGGACGGUGAUCACGGUGACAGCCACAGGGCUCAGGACAAGGUGGACACUGUGAUCACGGUGACAGCCACAGGGCUGAGGACAAGGUGGACGGUGAUCACGGUGACAGCCACGGGGCUCAGGACAAGGUGGACGGUGAUCACUGUGACAGCCAGAGGGCUCAGGACAAAGUGGAAGGUGAUCACGGUGACAGCCACAGGGCUCAGGACAAGGUGGACACUGUGAUCACGGUGACAGCCACAGGGCUCAGGACAAGGUGGACGGUGAUCACGGUGACAGCCACAGGGCUCAGGACAAGGUGGACGGUGAUCACGGUGACAGCCAGAGGGCUCAGGACAAGGUGGACAUGGUGACAGCCACGGGGCUCAGGACAAGAUGGACGUGGACAUGGCACAGGGGAGCAUGGAUAACGCUGCCCAUGUGGGAGCUCAGGGAGAUGAUGGAGGCCUGGACUCGACUUCCAACAGAAGCAGAGUGUCCCGGUGGCUUGAGCAGCCCAGGGGUCCGUUCACCUGCAGGUGGGUGCAGUUGACCGCGUUUUAGACUUUGGCCCAGAAAGUAUGCUAUCGGGUCAGCAGAGUUUUCUGCUAAGAUUAAAUCUUCAAUAGUCAUUCAGAAGAGAAUUUAAUAAAAUUCUACAAGAUGGUAGAAAUUACCCCAAAUUUUUUGUCCAAAAAGAUAAUAAUUCAUUUGUAAGCACCUAAGGAAAUAUUAAAAAUAAACUGGCAAACAUGAGAGAAUGUUGAAACUCACUAAUUUUAAAAAUGCAAAUUAAAAUGGAGAACCACCUGUUUAAGGAAUUAAGACAAACUUGGUGUGUGGGGUGCUGUGGAAUGUGCUCCGUGGUCCCAGUCAGGACCUGGUGGGCACAGCCUCUCCUGACAGUGUCUCCAGGCCGUAGGUCACAGAGUCCUGGGGCCAGAGCCCCUGGAAAUCGGACUUUCAGUUAAAAUGCACAGUGUGGGGAGACCAUGAAUAUGAAGCUGGCUGCUGCAGCUUUACUUUGUAAAAGCAGGAAAAAACUUCUAGCCAUCACAGUGACCGCAGAAUGCAGGAGUGUAUGGAGUCUAACUCUGCUCAGUGGACUGUUGUGUAUGUUAAAAGUAAAUAUUAAGCCCAGUUUGGCUCAGUGGAUAGAAUGUCGACCUGUGGACCUAAAGGUCCCGGGUUCGAUUCUGGUCAAGGGCACAUACCUCGGUUGCAGAGUCCUCCCCGGCCUAGGCAGUGGUCAGGACUCGUGCAAGAGGCAACCAAUUGAUUUGUUUCUCUCACAUUGGUGUUUCUCUCUGUCUUUCCCUCUCUCUUCCACUCUCUCUACAAAUCCAUGGAAAAAUAUCCUCGGGUGAGGAUUUAAAAAAAAAAGUAAAUAUUAAAAACUAGCAAAGUGAAUGAGGGCAUGGGCUGCUCCCCCAUCGAUGCUAGGAAUUUGGGGUAAUUUUGCUGGGUAGAGGUGUCGUGACUCUCAUCCUUCCCCAGGGUUGCUGAUGGAGGCGAGACUAUUCCACCUGGGUAGGACGAGGGACCAGCCCACCUGGGUAGGAUGAGGGACCAGCCCACCUGGGUAGGAUGAGGGACCAGCCCACCUGGGUAGGAUGAGGGACCAGCCCACCUGGGUAGGAUGAGGGACCAGCCCACCUGGGUAGGAUGAGGGACCAGCCCACCUGGGUAGGACGAGGGACCAGCCCACCUGGGUAGGAUGAGGGACCAGCCCACCUGGGUAGGACGAGGGACCAGCCCACCUGGGUAGGAUGAGGGACCAGCCCACCUGGGUAGGAUGAGGGACCAGCCCACCUGGGUAGGACGAGGGACCAGCCCA
Molecule: long non-coding RNA, 2053 nt
Organism: Myotis lucifugus (little brown bat)
Lineage: Eukaryota; Metazoa; Chordata; Mammalia; Chiroptera; Vespertilionidae
Exons: 3
Source: RefSeq, a predicted model, not a curated record